AAAAAAGUAAACCAUGGGUUUCCGUGUCCAAUUUUGACUGUCCGUCUUAUAUGAAAUAUUUUUAUAAUUCGUAUUUUUAUUGUUGUUAGAUGAUAAAACAUGAUUAAUAUUUUAUGCGUGACUUAUCUUUUUAAUUUUUUUUGUAAUUUUUUCAAAUAAGACGAACGGUCAAACAUUGGACACGAAAAUCAGGGUUUGUCUUUUU
Oryza barthii is the source of this 205-nucleotide non-coding RNA. Lineage: Eukaryota; Viridiplantae; Streptophyta; Magnoliopsida; Poales; Poaceae. The record is from Rfam.